UGGGGAAUCUUGCGCAAUGGGCGAAAGCCUGACGCAGCGACGCCGCGUGAGUGAUGAAGGCCUUCGGGUUGUAAAGCUCUGUGGGGAGAGAAGAAUAAGUGCGGGCUAAUACCCCGCAUGAUGACGGUAUCUCCUUAGCAAGCACCGGCUAACUCUGUGCCAGCAGCCGCGGUAAGACAGAGGGUGCAAACGUUGUUCGGAAUUACUGGGCGUAAAGCGAGUGUAGGCGGUUUGGUAAGUCGGAUGUGAAAGCCCCGGGCUCAACCCGGGAAGUGCAUUCGAUACUGCCAAGCUAGAGUAUCGGAGAGGUUGGUGGAAUUCUCGGUGUAGAGGUGAAAUGCGCAGAUAUUAGGAGGAACACCGGUGGCGAAGGCGCCGCUCUGGGCCGAAACUGACGCUGAGGAGCGAAAGCAUGGGUAGCAAACAGGAUUAGAUACCCGCGUAGUCCCUGAGCGGGCUGGCAAGGCGCAU
This 471-nucleotide ribosomal RNA is filed under the name uncultured bacterium. RNAcentral's name for it is "bacterial SSU rRNA". It matches the Rfam family "Bacterial small subunit ribosomal RNA", at positions 355 to 825 of the family's 1533-position model. The record is from RNAcentral.